GACGAACGCUGGCGGCGUGCUUAACACAUGCAAGUCGAGCGGUAAGGCCCUUUCGGGGGUACACGAGCGGCGAACGGGUGAGUAACACGUGGGUGACCUGCCCUCAGCUCUGGGAUAAGCCCGGGAAACUGGGUCUAAUACCGGAUAUGACUCCAUGACGCAUGUUGUGGGUGGAAAGCCUUGUGCGGCUGAGGAUGGGCCCGCGGCCUAUCAGCUUGUUGGUGGGGUGAUGGCCACCAAGGCGACGACGGGUAGCCGGCCUGAGAGGGCGACCGGCCACACUGGGGACUGAGAUACGGCCCACGACUCCUACGGGAGGCAGCAGUGGGGAAUCUUGCGCAAUGGGCGAAAGCCUGACGCAGCGACGCCGCGUGAGGGAUGACGGCCUCGG
This 391-nucleotide ribosomal RNA is filed under the name uncultured bacterium. Its description in RNAcentral is "bacterial SSU rRNA". It matches the Rfam family "Bacterial small subunit ribosomal RNA", at positions 28 to 420 of the family's 1533-position model. The record is from RNAcentral.